UGGGGAAUAUUGCACAAUGGGCGAAAGCCUGAUGCAGCAACGCCGCGUGAGGGACGACGGCCUUCGGGUUGUAAACCUCUUUUAGCAAGGAAGAAGCGAAAGUGACGGUACUUGCAGAAAAAGCGCCGGCUAACUACGUGCCAGCAGCCGCGGUAAUACGUAGGGCGCAGGCGUUAUCCGGAAUUAUUGGGCGUAAAGAGCUCGUAGGCGGUUUGUCGCGUCUGCUGUGAAAACCCGAGGCUCAACCUCGGGCCUGCAGUGGGUACGGGCAGACUAGAGUGCGGUAGGGGAGAUUGGAACUCCUGGUGUAGCGGUGGAAUGCGCAGAUAUCAGGAAGAACACCGAUGGCGAAGGCAGAUCUCUGGGCCGUAAACUGACGCUGAGGAGCGAAAAGGGUGGGGAGCAAAACAGGCUUAGAAUACCCUGGUAGUCCACCCCGUAAAACGUUGGGAACUAAGUUGUGGGGUCCAUUCCACGGAUUCCGUGACGCAGCUAACGCAUUAAGUUCCCCGCCUGGGGAGUACGGCCGCAAGGUUAAAAACUCAAAUGAAUUGACGGGGUCAAUAGCUGUUUCCU
Molecule: ribosomal RNA, 576 nt
Filed under: uncultured bacterium
Lineage: Bacteria
Description: partial 16S ribosomal RNA
Rfam family: Bacterial small subunit ribosomal RNA
Source: RNAcentral